Molecule: long non-coding RNA, 379 nt
Filed under: Lepisosteus oculatus (spotted gar)
Lineage: Eukaryota; Metazoa; Chordata; Actinopteri; Semionotiformes; Lepisosteidae
Description: lncRNA (ENSLOCG00000023144.1)
Source: RNAcentral
AGUUUUUUGUGUAUCCCAUUAAUAUUCUCAAAAAAUAAAGCUGAAAAAUAGUGAAAUGUGAGCAACCUGGCUUGACUCUAGAGUUGCAGAGCUAGUGUAUAUUCACCUGGAGAACAAGAGAGCUUUGUCUUCAGGGUUGCAGUCAUACUGGUAGUAGUGGUGCCCUGGAGGGAGAUGGACCAGUUGAAUUGGAGGAGUAAAUCCCGGGCUCGAACCCGAGCAUGCCAGCGAGGAGGACGAGGAAGCCACAGAGGUCCUGGAUUGGGCGAGAGCAGUUGCGGCGCUACCCUGCUGCUCUACAGAGGAAUACAGCAGCGUGAUGGAGGAGUUUGCAGCUCUGCGGCCGGGUGUUGCGGACUGUUGCAUCAGAUGAAACGCU